UAGUAGAAGAUAUGAGUUCCAAAAGUAGAGUGGAUAUGAUGGCAGCAGGCAGUAUUGGGCUAUGUUUUUGUCCUCCCAAUCCCAAGUUUGGGAGUUCACAAUCACAUCCAUCAAAAUCUUCAUCUCUUUCACCAAAAAAAUCUUCAUCUCAAAUCAAAGCUUCAUCUUCAUGCAAUUCUCUCUCUUCUCCACUUAUUAAAACCCUUUCUGACAUCCAUACCUCUGGUGUCAUAGCUUGCCUUCGUGCUCCUAGUGCAGAGCUAGCGCUUGGGGCUGCACGAGCUGCACUACGUGGUGGCAUCAAAGUUUUGGAGGUUGUGAUGUCCACUCCAGGUGUGUUUGAGGUUUUGCACCAGCUUGUGCUGGAAAAUCCGACUAUGACUUUAGGAGUAGGAACCGUUCUAAAUACUCAAGAUGCUAGAAUUGCAAUGAAGGUUGGUGCUAAGUUCCUCAUGAGUCCUGCAAUGAUCAAGGAUGUACUUGCUGACGUCCAAGAUCAUGAAGUGUUAUACAUACCUGGUGUCAUGACUCCAACAGAAAUAUUGUCUGCUUAUCAUGCUGGUGCAAAGCUUGUAAAGGUUUAUCCCGUCUCUGCACUAGGUGGUGUUGAGUAUAUGUCAGCACUUAAGAAGCCUUUUCAUCACAUCCCAAUGGUUGCUUCUCAAGGAAUUAAAUUGGGUCUAGUAGCAGAAUUCAUCACUCGAGGAGCAUCGGCAGUAGUAUUGUCAGAUGCCAUUUUUCCUAAAGAAGCAAUUGCUCAAGGAGACUUUGACACUAUAUCUGAACGAGCGGAGCUUGCAGCUUCAACUGCCAUUGAAGCUAUAAAACAGCUUGAACUGGUAUGAGAUUAAUAACCAGUUUGCCUUGCCUAGUUCUUCCCCUCUUUCCGCUGAACAGGUUUCCCUGUUCAUCUCUAAGGUUAAACAGUAGCAGCUUUUAACAUCAAACUUGCACCCACAUAUGACUUGGUUGCUGUAGUGAACUCUUGCUAUAUUGACAUUUAACAAGUAACUAAGUCAGCAGCAGAACUAGCAGUCAGUUCAGGGUUCUUUUGGCUCUCAACUUUUCUGAAGCCCUCGGGCCUCGGAACCGAGUAAUUACAAGUAGGCUUCAAUUCUGGGCAAAGCACAUAGGGCUUCAAUUCUUUUGAAGGUCUUAUGUCACAUAUGUAGUAGGUCAAAAGAUGGUCGGAACUUUUAUUACUCCUAUCUCUUAGUAUAGUGAUUCUUAGUCACUAUAAUACACAUUACACAAUGUUAGAUCCUUUUUCAUUUCUUCAGUUUUAGGGUAAGGAUAAUUUAUUUGUCAAGGAUGAGGAUCGAACCCCUGUUAUAGGGAUGGAAGGAGGGUCUUACAAUCAUUAGGUCCUUGAUCCUCACACAAUGUUAGUUACUUGGGAUUUGGGAACAUUUUAUGUAUCUUUGUAUCUCUUACAACUGUUGAUAUUUCUCCUUAAUUUUCAUAUUAUUCAUA
This is an RNA transcript of Beta vulgaris subsp. vulgaris (sugar beet), 1473 nucleotides long. RefSeq lists it as uncharacterized. The record is from RefSeq and is a predicted model, not a curated record. The transcript is spliced from 10 exons. Lineage: Eukaryota; Viridiplantae; Streptophyta; Magnoliopsida; Caryophyllales; Amaranthaceae.